Molecule: ribosomal RNA, 1433 nt
Filed under: metagenome
Description: bacterial SSU rRNA
Rfam family: Archaeal small subunit ribosomal RNA
Source: RNAcentral
ACCCGUUGAUCCUGCGGGAGACCGCUGCUAUCAGAUUCCGACUUAAUUAAGCUAGUCCAGGGGGCGUAAGCCAUUGGUAGACAGUUCCAUAACAUGUCGAUAAUCUACCCUUAGGAUAGGGAUAACCUUGGGAAAUUGAGGCUAAUACCUGAUAGAAGAAAGAUACUGUAAUGUUCUUUCUUUGAAAGAUUAUGCCUAAGGAUGAGUCGGCACCCGAUUAGGUUGUUGGUGGGGGAAUGGCCCACCAAGCCCGAGAUCGGUAGGGGUCUUGAGAGAGGUAGCCUCGAGGAGGAUACUGAGAUAAGGGUUUUGACUCUAUGGAGUAUAGCAAGUGUGAAAACUUUAUAAUACACGAAAGUGUGAUAAGGGGACUCUGAGUGCCUAUGCUUAGCAUAGGCUUUUGCCAAGAGUAAAAAUCUUGGAGAAUAAGUGGUGGGUAAGACUGGUGCUAGUAGUUGUGGUAACACCAGCGCCACGAGUGGGGGUCGGUAUUAUUGGGCCUAAAGCGUUCGUAGCCGGUUAGAUAAAUCUUUUGUGAAAUUGUAGGGUUUAACCCUACAGUGUGCAAAAGACACUAUCUGACUAGAGACCGGGAGGUGUUAGAGGUAUUCAAGGGGUAGCGGUAAAAUGCAAUAAUCCCAUGAGGACCAUUAGUGGUGAAGGCGUCUAACAAGAACGGGUCUGACGGUGAGGAACGAAAGCCAGGGGAGUGAAUCGGAUUAGAUACCCGAGUAGUCCUGGCCGUAAACGCUGUGAGUUAGGUGUUGCAUAUUCUAUAAGAAUAUGCAGUGUCGUAGAGAAGUCGUUAAACUCACCGCCUGGGUAGUACGGUCGUAAGACUGAAAUUUAAAGGAAUUGGCGGGGGAGCACAACAAGGGGUGCGGCGUGCGGUUUAAUCCAAUUCAAUAUGGAGAAUUUUACCAGAGGCGACGGCAGGAUGAAAGUCAGGUUGAAGACCUUACUUAAUAAGCCGAGAGGUGGUGCAUGGCCGUCGUCAGCUCGUGUUGUGAAGUGUCCUGUUAAGUCAGGCAACGAGCGAGACCUGCACUUACAAUUGUUAUCAGUUUAUUUAUGAGGACUGAGCACAUUGUAAGGACUGCCUUGGAAACAAGGAGGAAGGUGCAGGCAACGAUAGUCUGUAUGCCCCGAAUCCUCUGGGCUACACGCGCGCAAUAAUGGUAUGGGUAAUGGGAUGUAACUCCGAAAGGAGAAGUUAAACCUCUAAACCAUAUCCUAGUCCAGAUUGAGGAUUGUAAUUUAUCCUCACGAUGUUGGAAUCCCUAGUAACCAGACUUUAGUAUAGUCCGGUGAAUAUGUCCCUGCUCCUUGUAUAUACCGCCCGUCAAACCAACCGAGCAGGGUUUAGGUAAAACUUAGUUUUUUAAUUAAGUUGAAUCUAAGCUCAGUGAGGUGGGUUAAGUUGUUAUAAGGUA